RNAcentral lists this ribosomal RNA (465 nucleotides) under uncultured bacterium. RNAcentral's name for it is "bacterial SSU rRNA". It matches the Rfam family "Bacterial small subunit ribosomal RNA", at positions 329 to 792 of the family's 1533-position model. The record is from RNAcentral.
GGCCAGACUCCUACGGGAGGCAGCAGUGAGGAAUAUUGGUCAAUGGCCGUAAGGCUGAACCAGCCAAGUAGCGUGAGGGAAGACGGUCCUAUGGAUUGUAAACCUCUUUUGUCGGGGAACAAAGGCGGAGACGCGUCUCCGGAUGAGUGUACCCGAAGAAAAAGCAUCGGCUAACUCCGUGCCAGCAGCCGCGGUAAUACGGAGGAUGCGAGCGUUAUCCGGAUUUAUUGGGUUUAAAGGGUGCGCAGGCGGGAGAUCAAGUCAGCGGUAAAAUGUCGGGGCUCAACCCCGGCCGGCCGUUGAAACUGGUUUUCUAGAGUUGGAGAGAAGUAUGCGGAAUUCGUGGUGUAGCGGUGAAAUGCAUAGAUAUCACGAAGAACUCCGAUUGCGAAGGCAGCAUACCGGCUCCAUACUGACGCUGAGGCACGAAAGCGUGGGGAUCGAACAGGAUUAGAUACCCCUGUA